AUGGAUGUGGACUUUGGCGACAAUGAUGCUGGUUUUUCUACCGAGGCAUACACGGCAAAGAAUGGUGACAUAUUCAUUUUGUCUAGCUUGAAACCUGAAGCUGCAGAGGACUUCAAUCGCUAUGGUGUCACAUAUUGCUUGGCAAUGGUUACUGAGGUUUCUUUGGAUGAUGAAUACCAGAAGGGUUUCAGAGUUAAAGUCGCAAAGGAUAUUGGUUUGGAAGAACAAGACUUAAGUAAAUUCAGACAUGCAAUAUUUAUCAGUAAUAUCACGACAAGCAUACGGAUAUGGAAAGCACUUUCCUUUGACACACACAUGAAUGACAAUUUCAUAGUAAUCAAGUCGUUGUUAGCCCCAACAAAUUUGGGUGAUGAUGUAUGUGGUAUCUGCGUUGAAGAGGAUGGGGGCUGUUUGCCUAAUUUGACAGAGCAAUUACUUUCGAUUAACCUUAAUCAAUCACAAGUGGAUGCUAUUGAAUCUGUGAUCUCAGCUGUACGAUGUAGGCAUAUGAACCUCUUGAAGCUUAUAUGGGGUCCACCAGGUACUGGAAAGACCAAGACUGUUAGUGCUUUACUAUGGGCUUUGGCGUGUAUGAAAUGCAGAACUCUUACUUGUGCCCCCACUAAUGUUGCUAUCGUUGGAGUUUGCACUCGUUUCCUUCAAAACUUGAAGGAUUUCAACCAGCACAUUGACGAAAACAGUCUACCGUUGUCUCUUGGAGAUGUCGUGCUGUUUGGGAACAAGCAGAGAAUGGACAUCACCGAGGAUCUUCAGGAAGUUUUCUUGGAUUUUCGUGUGGACGAACUUCUUGAGUGCUUUUCAUUUUUGUCUGGAUGGAGGUACAGAAUAGCUUCAAUGGUAUCCUUUUUUGAUGACUGUGUGUCACGUUACGAUAUGCUUCUUGAGGAUGAAGAAAAGAGUGAUCCUGCGAGCUUUCUGGACUUCAUAAAGAAGCAGUUUGAUGUGACAGCAGCAGCUCUGAAAAGAUGCAUCGUGAAGUUGUGGGUUCACCUUCCUGGAAGGUGCUUUUCUCGCAAUAGUGCCAUAAAUAUAUCUACGUUGCUUAAUAUGCUGGGAAAAUUUGGCACCCUUCUGUGCGACGUAGACUUGACAGACGAGGGCUUGAAAAGGGUCCUUCGUUGUUUGUCAACUGAAAACUCUGUUUGUGCACAGCCUAUAUCUUUUAUUGAGAAAGAACUGGAUGGAGCAAGGUGUACAUGCCUUAAAUUGCUUAAAGAUCUACAACACUCUCUUAAUUUACCCACUGGAGUAGACAAAAACUGGCUCCAGAGCUACUGCAUACGUAAUGCUACACUUCUGUUCUGUACUACUUCUAGCUCUUAUCUGCUGCAUUACAUGGAGAUUGCACCCCUCGACGUCUUAAUUGUUGACGAGGCUGCUCAGGUGCGGGAGUGUGAGUUGGUGAUCCCACUACGUUUGCAUCGGUUGAAGCAUGUUGUUUUGGUAGGAGAUGACUGUCAGCUGAGUGCAAUAGUUAAAAGUCAAGUAUGCAGAGAAGCUGGCUUCAGUACAAGUCUUUUUGUGAGAUUGGUUACUCUGAAAUUCGAUAAACAUUUGCUGAAUAUACAGUAUCGUAUGAAUCCUUGUGUUAGCCAGUUUCCAAAUGCUCAGUUUUAUGAGAGGAAGAUUUUAGAUGGUUCAAAUGUCUUGUCUCCUAGCUAUAACAAGGAUUAUGCAUGCCUCCCUUUCGGCAGCUACACUUUUAUAAAUGUCACGGAUGGAAGGGAAGACAAAGAAAGCACCGGAAACAGUCGAAGAAACAUGGUUGAAGUUGCUGUUGUGCUGCACCUGAUCCAAACCAUUUUUAAAUGUUGGAAAAUUUCAGGCAAAGGGCUCAGCAUUGGUGUGGUCUCUCCAUAUAGUUCUCAAGUUGAUGCAAUUAAAGGCAGACUUGGCAAAAAAUACGACACAUGUGAUGGCUUUCAUGUGCGGGUCAAGUCCAUUGAUGGUUUCCAAGGAGAAGAGGAUGAUAUUAUAAUACUAUCAACGGUUAGAUCCAACGGGAACGGAGUUGUUGGAUUUCUUGCUGAUAACGGAAGAACAAACGUUGCUCUUACCAGAGCAAAGCACUGUCUUUGGAUUGUUGGGAAUGCUCAUACACUGUAUAAAAGUGGAACUGUCUGGACAGACCUUGUUGCUGAUGCUCAAAGACGUAAAUGUGUUUUCAAUGCCCGUAAUGAUGCGGCCAUAUGUAAGUUGGUUUUGCAAGUAAAGCAAGAGCUUGAUGAACUUGAUGAUCUUCUUAAUGCUGAUUCGGCGGUUUUCAACAAUGCCAAAUGGAAGGUCAUUAUUAGCGACGAGUUUAGUAAGUCUUUCACCAAACUGAAGUUGUCACAGCUCAGGAGGGAAGUACUCCAAAAGCUUAUCAAACUUGGCAGUGGUUGGAGGACAACAGUUAGAAACUUAGAUAUACCUGGUGUUUCCAAUCAUGCAAAAGUAUACAAGAUCAGGGACCUUUAUCUUAUUUGGAACAUUGACAUGGAGAAAAGGGAAAGAAAGUAUAUCCAGAUAAUAAAAAUUUGGGACCUACUCUCACAACAACAUGUUGCAAGAACAGUUCAACGUCUCGAGGUUGUUUUUUCCAUGUACACAGAUGAUUACCUGGAUCAUUGCAGAAGAGUGCAGACACUUGGGAAACUGGAGGUUCCUAUGGUUUGGAAUGUUGAGCAUGAUAUUAUUCGCUUUAAGAAGGAUUGCAGAAUUGAUGCUCAGGAAGAGCAUGAUGUCGUGGAUGCAUCACAUGCCAUGGAAAAUUCAAAAGUUAGCGAAAGCUUCUUGCUUAUGAAAUUCUACUCGUUAUCCACUGGAGUGGCAAAACAUUUGCUGACAGCUUCUGAUGGUUCGGAAAUCGAUAUCCCCUUUGAACUGACUGAUGAAGAAAAGAUGAUAAUCCAAUUCCCGCUCACUAGUUUUAUACUUGGGAGGUCAGGCACUGGAAAAACCACUGUAUUGACAAUGAAACUGUAUCGAAGAGAGCAACAGUCAUUGAUUGCCUCCCAGGGUCUAAAUUUGGAUGGUGAUGAUUUAUAUGGGAUGGAUGACAAAAAUAUUAUGGCACUGAACGACAUAGGAGAAAGUUUUGUGAAACAAGUGUUUAUAACUGUAAGCCCAAAGCUGUGUUCAGCCAUAAAUAAUCACAUUUCUGGACUUAAAAGGUUUGUUUGUGGUGAUGUCUCUAAUCAGCCUAGCAUUCUUCAUAUGCACGCCAUCUUUGAUGACCAGGAAGAGUUCACAGAAAUACCUGAGAGUUUUAGCAAUCUACCUCAUGAGCACUAUCCUCUUAUUAUAACAUAUCGAAAGUUCUUGAUGAUGCUUGAUGGAACAUGCCAGACGUCAUUUUUUGAUGUGUUCUAUGGCGAACUGAAGUCUAGUGUUGAUAGAGGGUAUUCAAAAUCUCAUGCGCUGGAAACGUCUAUUGAAUUAAAGGAAGUUACCUAUGAGAAAUUUGCUGCUUCGUAUUGGCCUCGUUUUAAUGCAGACCUGACCAAGAACCUUGAUGCAUCCACUGUCUUCACUGAAAUAAUUUCUCAUAUAAAGGGUAGAUAUCAAGCAAGCAUGCCUUACACCGGCAAUCUUGGAAGACAAGAUUAUGUGAUGCUCUCAGAUAAAAGAUUUUCAUCUCUGAACAGCGAGAAGAGAGAUAGGAUUUAUAAUAUUUAUGUUGAUUAUGAGAAUAUGAAAUCCACUGCCAGAGAGUUUGAUUUGUCAGAUUUCGUCAAUCGUCUUCACAUCAAUCUUGUAUCCGAGGGCUACAAAGGAGAUCUGGUGGAUUUUGUUUACAUAGAUGAGGUGCAGGAUCUAACCAUGACACAGAUAGCACUUCUUAAGUAUGUCUGCAGGAACUUCAAGGAAGGCUUUCUUUUUGCUGGUGACACGGCCCAGACUAUAGCAAGGGGUAUCGAUUUCAGGUUUGAAGAUAUCCGUUCACUUUUUUAUACUGCAUUUCUCUCAGAAACUGAAAUGUUUAAUCAAGGACUUCGACAUGGAAAACAAGUCCAACUCUCUGAUAUGUUCCAACUGUCUCAGAAUUUCCGCACGCACUGUGGCAUCCUUCACAUGGCACAAAGUAUCAUGAGCCUUCUGUACUUCUUUUUCCCGUCAAGUGUUGACAAGCUUAAUCCAGAGACUGGACUUGUAUAUGGAGAAGCUCCCGUGCUGCUGGAAUCUGAUAAUGAUGAAAAUGCAAUUAUGACUAUAUUUGGAGAAACCAAAAGUAAGCAUGGUAACAUGCAUGGGUUUGGUGCUGAGCAAGUCAUAUUAGUUCGUGAUGAUGCUACCAAAAAACAAAUUGUUGAUCUUGUUGGUAAACAGGCUCUUGUUUUGACUAUUGUUGAAUGUAAGGGCCUUGAGUUCCAGGAUGUGCUGUUGUACAACUUUUUUGGCUCGUCACCCUUGAAAAACAAAUGGAGAGUUCUGUACGGCUACAUGAAAGAUAGAGAUAUUAUAGCACAAUCUGAGGAGAUCUCUCAUCCGGGUUUCGACAGAAGCAAGCAUCAUCUUCUAUGCUCAGAGCUGAAGCAACUCUAUGUUGCAAUCACACGCACGAGGCAAAGACUCUGGAUAUGUGAGAAUACAGAUGAUUACUGUCGACCGAUGUUUGACUAUUGGAAGAAGUUGUGUCUUGUAGAGGUUAGAUUACUUGAUCCUUCCCUCAUUCAAGCAAUGCAGACAGGAAGUAGUACAGAUGAUUGGAGGCUACGGGGAAUCAAGUUAUUCAACGAGAGGCAAUUUGAAAUGGCUACGAUGUGUUUUGAAAAAGCUGGUGAUGCAUACAAAGAGAAGUGGGCAAGAGCUGCCGGACUUGUAGCAAUUGCUGAACGUGCCACAUCCUCAAAAUUGGAGAAUGGCAAGGCUCCAAUGCAAACAGCAUCAGAGAUUUUUGAGUCCAUAGGCAUGCAUGAGAAAGCUGCUAUGUGCUAUAUGAAAUUAGGUGACCACAAAAAAGCAUCAGAGAUUUAUGAGUCCAUAGGCAUGCAUGAGAAAGCUGCUACGUGCUAUAUCAAAUUAGGUGACUACAAGAAAGCAGGUAUGGUCUACAUGCAAAAAUGUGGUGCUUCCUGGCUUGAGGAUGCUGGUAUCUGUUUUGCUAGGGCUGAAUGCUGGUCGGAGGCAGCUGAAGUGUUCUUCAAAGCUAAAUGUUACCCCGAGUGUUUCUCAAUGUGCUCGAAAGGAAAACUAUUCAAUCUUGGCUUGCAGUUCCUGCAGCAGUUGGAGGAGGAACAUUUGCUUCAGAAUUCAAAAUCCUUAGAGGUUUCUGCUAUUAGAAAGACGUAUCUUGAAAAUUGUGCUCAGCAUUAUUCUGAGUGUGGUGACAUAAAGCGUAUGAUGCCUUUUGUUAAGGCUUUCAGUUCUAUGGAUCAUGUACGGGCAUUCUUGAAGUCUAAGUUUCUUCUUGAAGAACUGUUUAGCCUAGAGGUGGAUAUGGGUAAUUUCCUUGAAGCUUCAGAAAUAGCAAAGCAUAAAGGAGAUGUCUUACUUGAGGUAGACAUGCUUGAGAAGGCAGAUUUGUUUGAGGAUGCAACACGGCUUCUCCUCCUCCAUAUCAUUGUAGAUUCUUUUUGGUCUUCAAAUAGCAGAGGGUGGCCUCCUAAAAGAUAUCCAGAGAAGGAGCAAAUGCUUGCAAAAACCAAAGAGAUGGCAAAAAAGGUCUCUGAGUGCUUCUACUGCCUUGUUUGCCUGCAAGCUGAUGCACUGUCAGACAUGAACAAGUCUCUUGCCAGUUUAAAUUGCACUUUUCUUGAAAGCAGAAAAUGUGGUAACUUCUUUGUUGAAUUCAUCACUUCCCGUUCGAUUCUUGAUGUCCACCUUCAGUCUCGAGCCUCUGGAUACAAUUUGGAAUUAGGGCCAGGAUCUGAAGAUGAAAGUAGCUGUAAUGAUAUGGUGACUCAUAACCAGAUAUCACCCCAAACCCUAGCGUAUGCCUGGAAUCACUGGAAGUCAAUCGUAAUGAAAGUACUAUCUCAUCUUCGCCACACUGAUGGUCCAGAAUUAAAUGAAUACGAAGAUCUUUGCGUUAAGUACUUUGGGUUGAGGAAAGAUGGUGCCCGAUACUUUGUGCUUAACAUGGACUCAAGUUGGCUCUCUAGCACAAGCAGAAAUUCUUUGCAGCAAGAUGGCAACAGAUGUUGGCUGGAUGUCCUUCAGUAUCAUUCAUGUGCCCAGUCUUUCUUGAUGAAUGAGUUGUCUUCUGUUGGUUUCAGUGUACUUAAGAAGUUGGAGUCCAUUGCUCAAAUUUCUCCAAAGCCAUCAUCUUCAUAUGCCCUGGUGAGAACUAUCCUUAUUGUAAAAGAGAUAGCUAACUUUUUGGAAGAACCAGAGUUCAGUAUGCCGAAAAGUACAAUGAAGUUAAGAAGCUUCUCUGUUCUCUGGGAGCGUCGCUUCUUCGAGUUAAUUUUUCUUGUCUGGAGAGAUGGGGCAAGGAGGAGCCUCUUGCAUAUACUUGACUCACCAGCUUCGCAUGGGCUGAUUGCUGAUUCCCUUGGUGCAAAUCUUCAACCAACAAAUAAAAAUUUAACUCAUGGGCAUCUUGGGAGGACAACCAUACUUCUGCUCCAUGCAGCACGAUUGGAUGAUGGACUGAUUUCAAGGCUGCUACAGUACCUAGACAAUGAUUCUGAGUGGGCAGAUUUUUAUCGAUGUUUGAAGAUAUUUCUUGAUACUGGUGUUCUUACCUCCUUGAUCUCGAACUUUAGGCUCGCCCUUGAUUUUACCUUCAAUUUUGUGACGUGGAGGGAUGAACUGGACUACAUAUCUCCAAUAUGCUAUGUGGGUCUGAUGGAGUGCCUUGGUUUUUUGUCUUCAGCACACCUUCUACAGAAAGGUUGUAUGUACUGCACGAAAUCUCUGUUGGUCAAUAUGCUGGAAUGCCGUACCAGCAAAGUUUACCUUGACACCUGCCUGGCAGCUACUUCAAGACCAGAUUGCGAUCUUGAUCAUACGGCGUCCGAAUCAGGCCAUUCAGGCCAUUUCAUAUUAGAGACCAUUAUGACUAUCUUGACAGAGAAGAAAAUGCUUCAGGAGUGGGUCCAGAAGACUUCAACUCCUAGUUGUUCAUACAAAGCAGUCCUCCUGAGAUUAGUUGUCACACUUUAUCCGCUGAUCCUAACUCAUGAUCUGGAGAUUUCCCAUUAUAAGCUCACAAAUACUCUUCUGGAAUGUGGAGUCUUUAAGGAUUUACCUCUGGAGUUCUCUCAGAAGAUUGUACAUGCUUUACGAACGAGGUCUCGCAAACCAAGCAACUUCAUAAGAGUGGUUGCUGAUGCACUUGCUGCAAUCGGAGAUCGUCUGGUAGUUAUGGGUUCACCUGAAGGCGCAGCAAUCUGUGAAAACAUAAACGCUUAUAUGAUUAGCACAGAGGAUUUGAGUGAUGUUCACAAGGUAAUGGCUCUUCUUUGUUCUGAAGAGGCAAGUUCUGUAAAGCAAGAUGCCACACUGCCAGAAAAAUCUGAUGGUAACAAAUUCUGCAAUGUUGCUGGAAACGUUCCGAAGAUUGUACAAGAUAAUAAGAUGGAGAAUAUGGGAGAGAUAGAUUCAAGUGAUGAGAGUACUGCCUUCUGGGAAAAGCUUGAUACUUUUCAAGUCAACAAGGAAGGCCAGAAAGAUGCAAGGUUUAUUGUUGAAUUCCUUAGGAGUGCCGUUCCAUGGCUGGCUGAUGCACAAUUGCUGGAAGAGGUCAGGCACAUCUGCAGCGAGUUCGAAGAACGUACUGCCAGGACGGAGAAGACAGCUUGUCUGACCGUGGAGGAGGAUCUAUUCUCAAUGUGGCAAGACGGUGAGAACAAACUGCAUACGAUUAUCAGCUAUCUGCGUUCCGCAAGGGCGUCCAUGAAAGAAGAUGAAAGGAGGAAUGAAGCUGCAGCCGGUGCCCAGCCGCAGACUGAUGGAGCGGGCGAGCGAACCAGGCGUUCAGACAAUGUUCCUGAUAGGGGAGGAAGCAACACGGUGGAACCGGUGAAGGAAGAAGCUGUGUCGGCCGCCGGCCCGGCCUCGCAGAAGGCGGCACAGAAGCAGAAGGGCAGGAAGAAAUCGAAGAAAUGUAAAGGCCGUGGCAGGAAGUGA
This 8079-nucleotide ribosomal RNA is filed under the name Triticum aestivum (bread wheat). RNAcentral describes it as "partial small subunit ribosomal RNA". The record is from RNAcentral. Lineage: Eukaryota; Viridiplantae; Streptophyta; Magnoliopsida; Poales; Poaceae.